GACAGUCCGGUGGCCUAGUGGUUAGAGCGUCCGCCUCUGAUGCUGGAGAUCGCGGGUUUGAGCUCUGGCCGAGUCA
Molecule: non-coding RNA, 76 nt
Organism: Potamilus streckersoni
Lineage: Eukaryota; Metazoa; Mollusca; Bivalvia; Unionida; Unionidae
Source: the annotation of a GenBank genome assembly